AGGGGUCCCUGUCGGAUUCCGCUGUGUCGGAUGAGACUCGGACCCUAGCGCGCUAGAAAUAAACUCCCUUCCUGCCUUUUUGCAUUACUGUGGAGGACUUGCUUUCUCUCGGUCGGUUCGGAGAUACGGGCUCGGUGCAUAACACUCUCGAGACAGGGGCUUCCCUUCAGACCCUCUGUCCGCCGAGUCCUGCCGUCCCCAAGCCUCAGACAGCGGUUAAGUCCUGGGAAGAGAGCUGAAGCACAGAGAACGGAGAACAACGAGGGACGGUCGCCCUAGCCCGACACUGCCCCGCGAGCACUGGGACGACCCCACCCCCCACGCCUGCCAGCCAUCCCGCCACUGGGGCACCACGGCCCGAAACUCACUUCUCUUCGUGUCCGCACACCUUUCCAUUCUGCGCCGCACCCCGGGGUGCGACAGCCCCGUGGCACCUGUGGUUUGAGAAUCGCCUUAAGUUUCACCAGGCAUUUGGGGGCGGGAGGACUUUUGGCCACUGUCUGCCCCGCUAUUUCCCUGCCACGACGAUUAGGCUCCAUAGGUAUGUGAAUUUGAUGCCAUCUCUAAUUUUGAGGAGGCUUAUUUUAUUUUGGAUGAGUUUCUUUUGCAGAGAGGAAGUUCAGGAAAUCGAAGAAAAAUGUCCUACAAGCAGUUGACCUGGCAUAUCUACUGCAAGAGAUAUUUUUUAGUUUCUCCUGUAAUCUGUGGUGGUGGAGGAGACUCUUGAGAGCCCCCUGGACUGCAAGAAGAUCCAACCGUCCAUUCUAAAGGAGAUCAGUCCUAAGUGUUC
Molecule: long non-coding RNA, 790 nt
Organism: Capra hircus (goat)
Lineage: Eukaryota; Metazoa; Chordata; Mammalia; Artiodactyla; Bovidae
Exons: 3
Source: RefSeq, a predicted model, not a curated record